Molecule: ribosomal RNA, 503 nt
Filed under: uncultured Desulfobulbus sp.
Lineage: Bacteria; Pseudomonadati; Thermodesulfobacteriota; Desulfobulbia; Desulfobulbales; Desulfobulbaceae
Description: bacterial SSU rRNA
Rfam family: Bacterial small subunit ribosomal RNA
Source: RNAcentral
GCCAGCCCGCUCAGAACUCAAAGGAAGUGACGGGGCCCGCACAAGCGGUGGAGUAUGUGGUUUAAUUCGAUGCAACGCGAAGAACCUUACCUGGUCUUGACAUCCCGGAGACCCUUAGGAAACUAGGGGGUGCUUCCAUCUGGAAGAAUCUGGAGACAGGUGCUGCAUGGCUGUCGUCAGCUCGUGUCGUGAGAUGUUGGGUUAAGUCCCGCAACGAGCGCAACCCUUGCCUUUAGUUGCCAGCAGUUCGGCUGGGCACUCUAAAGGGACUGCCGGUGUUAAACCGGAGGAAGGUGGGGAUGACGUCAAGUCCUCAUGGCCUUUAUGACCAGGGCUACACACGUACUACAAUGGCCGAUACAAAGGGCAGCGACACUGCGAGGUGAAGCCAAUCCCGUAAAAUCGGUCUCAGUCCGGAUUGGAGUCUGCAACUCGACUCCAUGAAGUUGGAAUCGCUAGUAAUCGUGGAUCAGCAUGCCACGGUGAAUACGUUCCCGGGCCUU